Molecule: long non-coding RNA, 222 nt
Filed under: Capsicum annuum
Lineage: Eukaryota; Viridiplantae; Streptophyta; Magnoliopsida; Solanales; Solanaceae
Description: long non-coding RNA (CANN_LNC016524)
Source: RNAcentral
GGGGCCCACCAUCAACAAAUUUAUACCAUCACCAUAAAUACAUACACACAAUACUGAUAAAGAAAGAAGAAGGGACCAGAGAUCCUCCAUUGUUUCUUUGCCAUUAACACACUAGACAGAAUUUUCAUUUUUCUUUCCUCUUCUAAAAACAACAGAAUACAUAUACACACACCACCAUAUCUCCUUGACCGAAUAUACCUACCCACCUGGGGACUUCACCGA